AAUAAUAAUAAUAAUGUUAAAACCCCCCUAAUAAAGAUACCGGUUCUAAUUUAAUAAUAAUAAUAAUAAUAAUAAUAAUAAAAUGCAUUAUUAAACAUUUGCCUUUCUUUUCUUCCCUUUUUCUCGACCUCCAGUUAAGUCAGUAAAAGAAAUCAAAGACCGCAGCGAAGGUAAACACCCCUGUGACGGUGGUCGCCGGCUAUCUCUGGCGGUUCUCGCGCGUCGUCAGUUACGAUCGCAGCUUAAUUAUUCUUCACUCGUUUUUCUACAACCUUCAUUUGUGAGGCUAGGCUAAGGCAUGAGUACGAAGAUUCGUGUGGUGGUUACCUCUUUUGGUCGGCCAUUUUUGGAAAGCCUUCCAGCUCAUACACGGAAGAUUACAAUGCCUGAAACAAGAGUAUUAUACACUGUUCUUCGAUCACCUCACAUUGACAAAAAGUCUAGAGAACAAUUCGAGACGAGGACCCAGAAAUGCGUACUGGAUAUUAAAGCGGAGAGACAUGAGUUGCGUCAGAAGUUGUUUUGGUUAAAACGUCAUCGUAUGUUUGGUGGUCAAAUGGAAGUCCAAGUGUUUUCCAAGACUCGUCUAGACCCUAAACUUUUGCCUCUCCCGCAGAGAAAGCCUUAGUACGUCUUCUGCAGCCACCUCAAUGUUUGGAGCUCCCAAUUUUGUUGGUUAUAUUGCUCAGUUACAGAUCUCUUUGAAGCUUUUGUUAAGACCUGAUUGAUCCAUACUUUGUCAGAUACAUGUGUUCUUGUGGAAGCAAUAUUGUAAUGAAUGGAUAUCAGAAUUAUGUACAUCAGCUUAGUUCAAUUACUAGCAGAAGCUAAAGUAUUUCCAGAUUGAUGUAUUAACAUAAGAUUUUGAUUAUGCAUUAACUUAUCUUUUUCUGCGUUAAAAAUGAUGGAUCAUGCAAUUAA
Spinacia oleracea (spinach) is the source of this 921-nucleotide long non-coding RNA. RefSeq lists it as uncharacterized. Lineage: Eukaryota; Viridiplantae; Streptophyta; Magnoliopsida; Caryophyllales; Amaranthaceae. The transcript is spliced from 2 exons. The record is from RefSeq and is a predicted model, not a curated record.